Molecule: ribosomal RNA, 463 nt
Filed under: uncultured bacterium
Lineage: Bacteria
Description: partial 16S ribosomal RNA
Rfam family: Bacterial small subunit ribosomal RNA
Source: RNAcentral
GACGAACGCUGGCGGCGUGCUUAACACAUGCAAGUCGAACGGAAAGGCCCUGCUUUUGUGGGGUGCUCGAGUUGCGAACGGGUGAGUAACACGUGAGUAACCUGCCCCUGACUUUGGGAUAACUUCAGGAAACUGGGGCUAAUACCGGAUAGGAGCUCCUGCUGCAUGGUGGGGGUUGGAAAGUUUCGGCGGUUGGGGAUGGACUCGCGUCGUAUCAGCUAGUUGGAAGGGUAGUGGCUUACCAAGGCGUUGACCGGUAGCCGGUCUGAGAGGAGGACGAGCCAGAGGGGGAGUGAGACACGGCGGAGACUCCUACGGGAGGCAGCAGUGGGGAAUAUUGGACAAUGGGCGAAAGCCGGAUCCAGCAAUGCCGCGUGAGUGAUGAAGGCUUUAGGGUUGUAAAGCUCUUUUACACGGGAUGAUAAUGACAGUACCGGGAGAAUAAGCUCCGGCUAACUCCGUG